UUAUAUUUUUUAUUAUACUAAAAAAAAUGGAACAAUACAGAGAAGAUUAGCAUGGCCCCUGACAUGCAAAUUCGUGAAACGUUCUGUUCUUUU
Macaca fascicularis (crab-eating macaque) is the source of this 93-nucleotide small nuclear RNA. The record is from Ensembl. Lineage: Eukaryota; Metazoa; Chordata; Mammalia; Primates; Cercopithecidae.